This 1077-nucleotide long non-coding RNA is filed under the name Canis lupus familiaris (dog). Its description in RNAcentral is "lncRNA (ENSCAFG00040017244.1)". The record is from RNAcentral. Lineage: Eukaryota; Metazoa; Chordata; Mammalia; Carnivora; Canidae.
CCCACUGACCAUCAAAUUCAAUGUGAAGUCGUGAAGACCAAACACUGCUGUAAUAUUUCAGAGUAUCAUUUGAUGAAAUUGUCUGAAUUUUCAACUGUCUACAGAGAGCCUUCUGGGUACCAGGUGUCAGAGCAGAGCCCUGAGCCACGUGAGGAAGCCAGUGAUGGGGAGAGCCCUCCAGACAGAAGCAGCAGCAUGGAUUCGAACAGCCCUUUUGUGAGACAACACUGAAACAUUUCCAAAAGAGAGACAAGGUAAGGUCAUUGGCAUAGUCUGAAAUAAACUUAGGGAGAGGUGGGAGUGGAGUGGAGGGAGCUCUCCCCAGCAGUUUAGAUGUACAUUGCACAUCAUCUUGGUACUUUAUCAGCAUCCAGGAUCUUGAAUCUGACACUCCAUCUUAUAUAUAUUAAAGCACAAUCCUGUCAUGUCCCACAGUUGGUCACAUUGAUGUUGAUUAAAUUUAGAAGAGACAAAUAAUAUAUAACACGGAAUGCCCAUUUACUAGUUUCUGAUGAUAACCAGAGUGAUCGAUCUAUUUGCAUCCCAUUGCUCAUGCCCCUGAAAAGUCAUACCAACCCGGUACUCAUUUCCAGGCAUUUAGGUUCUCAGAAAGCCCAAAUCAACAACCAGAAGGUUGCCUGGUGAGCAGAGAAUUAGAGCCAAGAGCAGUGGAUGUUUUUUGAGUGUGACUCCAUUCACAUUAUGGUAAGACCCAGAGCAGAUGCCUCCUGACCAGAAUGCUACUGUCCUCUAGAACCAAUAUUUAGUAGGUUUUGAAAUUCCUUUUUAUCUUUUAUCAUGGCGCACCAUCAUGCCCAGAAUGGACUCAUAUCUACUUGAGAUUCAAUAUACUAACAUGAAGUCAAGGCUUUACAGCUGUAUCACAUAAAGCAAAAUCAUAUAUAGUUAGUUAGUUAUAUUUGACUCUUCCAAAUUUAUCCUGGGUAAUCACAGAUGGAGCAGACAACUCCAAGAAGACAUUAAAAUGAAUGCAACCUUAAAUACUUAAAUACUUAAGACCCAGAACUUCCGUUGAUGGACUGUAAUGGAUCAGUUUAUUCCAAGGAAGGCAAGGAG